UGAACGCUGGCGGCGUGCUUAACACAUGCAAGUCGAACGGUAACAGGAGAAGCUUGCUUCUUGCUGACGAGUGGCGCACGGGUGAGUAAUGCAUAGGUAACGUGCCCCUUAGUCUGGGAUAGCCACUGGAAACGGUGAAUAAUACCGGAUACUCCUUCUCACUUAAUGUGAGUCGGGAAAGUUUUUCGCUAAGGGAUCGGCCUAUGUCCUAUCAGGUAGUUGGUGAGGUAAAGGCUCACCAAGCCUAUGACGGGUAGCGGGUCUGAGAGGAUGAUCCGCCACACUGGGUACUGAGACACGGACCAGACUCCUACGGGAGGCAGCAGUGGGGAAUAUUGCACAAUGGACGAAAGUCUGAUGCAGCAACGCCGCGUGGAGGAUGACACAUUUCGGUGCGUAAACUCCUUUUAUGUGAGAAGAUAAUGACGGUAUCACAUGAAUAAGCACCGGCCAACUCC
Molecule: ribosomal RNA, 458 nt
Filed under: uncultured bacterium
Lineage: Bacteria
Description: bacterial SSU rRNA
Rfam family: Bacterial small subunit ribosomal RNA
Source: RNAcentral